GAUGAAUGCUAGCUACAGGCUUAACACAUGCAAGUCGAGGGGUAACGAGAGGAAAGCUUGCUUUCCUUGUCGACGACCGGCGCACGGGUGAGUAACGCGUAUCCAACCUGCCCCCAACUAGGGAAUAACCUUGCGAAAGUAAGACUAAUACCCUAUAAUUUCCUCAGAUGACAUCUGACGAGGAAUAAAGAUUUAUCGGUUGUGGAUGGGGAUGCGUCUGAUUAGCUUGUUGGCGGGGUAACGGCCCACCAAGGCAACGAUCAGUAGGGGUGCUGAGAGGAAGGUCCCCAUCAUUGGAACUGAGACACGGUCCAAAAUGCAACGGGAGGCAGCAGUGAGGAAUAUUGGUCAAUGGGCGGAAGCCUGAACCAGCCAAGUAGCGUGCAGGAUGACGGCCCUAUGGGUUGUAAACUGCUUUUAUACAGGAAUAAAGUUAGCCACGUGUGGUUAUUUGUAGGUACUGUAUGAAUAAGGACCGGCUAAUUCCGUGCCAGCCGCCGCAGUAA
RNAcentral lists this ribosomal RNA (506 nucleotides) under uncultured bacterium. RNAcentral describes it as "partial 16S ribosomal RNA". It matches the Rfam family "Bacterial small subunit ribosomal RNA", at positions 28 to 523 of the family's 1533-position model. The record is from RNAcentral.